GUCUGAGCGAGAGGGGCAGUGAGGAUGGGGCGUGGCACAUGCUCUGUGUGGCUCCCUUGUAUUUACAUGCUGCUUGGUACCUUUUGGAGGGCCCCUCGUCUCGUUGGCCCUCACCAGGAGACCCCAUGAAGGAAGUUGGUUUAGGUGUCUGGAGCCUGGAGAGAAUUCUGGGCAGAGAAUUUGGCAGAGAGUUCAAGUCCCUGUUGCAAGUCUGCCUCUUAUCAGUGUCCUUGUGGAUUAUAUGGCCUCCCGAUCCUCAGGUUCAUCUUCAGUAGAACGAGGUUAUAAUGCCUCUCUUGCAGGGAGCUAUCAAGAUCUGGAGAGGGGAGGUGUGGCUACCGGGCAGGGCUGGUGUCUCCAGGCCAGGGCAGCCCCUGUCUAGAAUGGCUUAUGUGGAAGGUGGAGACGUAAUAGCAACACUGGGAAAGACCCCAGCCCAACGGCUGUCCUGGAAGCAAGCACCAAGCUCUGAGGAGGAAGGGGGUGCUGUAACCCACAAAGGGCAGUUCAGGGGCUUGCUCCUCUAUAGUCAGGGGGACAAACCCAGGACUCACUGGGUAGGUGUCUGAGCUGGGGCCUCUGGAAAUGGGUGGUGGAUCAGGCACCCAGGGCAAGGGUGCCCGAUGAGGCAGGUCACAGGACAAGGGCUGUUGGGCCUCUGGGAUUUCAGAUUCUGUUCCAUAUAUUCCCUGAGCACCUGCUCUGGCUAUGGGGGCUUAUGUUCUAGGGGUAGACACAGAUGCUUCCAGUGCAGGUGGGGGGGGAAGGGCAGCAAGGUGACUCUGACCUCAGACCAGGCACCGGAGCCAGCACCCAGAGAAGGCAGUCCUGCUCAUGGUAGACCAGCCUCCUCCAAGAACCUCCCACAUCCAUCUCUAUAUCACACAGGACGCAAGGUGAAUGAUCUGGGGGUCCCAGGAAGAGUUGGUGUCUUUGAACUGGGCUACCCUUGCCUAGAAAUAGUCCUGGCCCCAGCCCUGCCGCAUCACAGUGGGUGGACAGCCAGGCACUGGGGCUGUUCUCUGCCCCCGCCAUCUCUCCCGGGCCCUGGUAUGGCCGAUGGCCCUGGGAAGCCUGAGGGCUCUCCCUUGUGUCCUUUCUCAGGGUGGGUCCCGACGGCCCCGAUGGAUUACCCUCUCACCCCAUUGGGUUGCUGUGGUUUGCUCAUCAGCAGAAAUGACUCCUCACCCACAAUUGCAUCAGUCUUUCCACAGAUGGAGUGAAUCACACUGCAAGAUGUGGUUACAGGCUGUGUCCUGUGUCCCGGUUAGGGGCCUGCUGGGCCCAGCCAGGCUAGGGGUUGGGGCUGACCGUGACUCUGACUUGGCCUUGGGAGAGGAAACUGGAGGCCAGGAGGGGAGCACCAGCGGGGGUGGUGGUGGUGAGGGGAGGUGAGAGAGGUCAUGGAACUUGUCCACACAGGCAGGGCAGGGGACUGGAACCCAUGUCCAGUGACUGUGGCCGUGGCCACACUGGGGAACUGUAUGGCUUCCCCAGCCCCAGCCUGCCCACGACACCGAGAGGAAGAGAAAUGAGGGGAGCAUCUCUGACCGUGCAGUGGGGAAUGUCUGCAGACAGAACCUUGAACUGAAUGUGGGACACCGUAGCAGAACAUCAGGAAGGAAGGGGAGUCUUCCAACAAAGGAAGGUGGCGGGGAGUCUCUGCUCAUCAUGAUGACUUGGGGCUCGGCCUGAGAGAACAGCCACCAUCUUGAAACUUGCCAGUCUCACGCCAGAAGGAAAAUGAGCCCUGGAGGUUCUCACACCUGUCCCAGCUGCAAGUUGACUCCCAUCAGUUCUACUCACAACUCAUUGGCUAGAACAGUCACAUGGCCUCACCAACUAGCUGGAGUCUAACCGGAAGGUGAGGAGCUAGAAGAACGUGGGGAGCGGCGCUCCUGAGUACGACAGUACACCUCCUGCCCGGCAGAGAGCCUGGUAGGAAGAAGCUGAUCAGCAAAUUUUUGAUGAAACAGUUUCCAGCCCAACCACUGUUCCCAGAAUAGCUGUUGCGAAGGCACCAAUGACUUCCAUAUUGCUCCACACGGUGGACACUUUUCAGUCCUUGUCUCCCUUGACCUUGCAUAUAACACCCAGAUUUCAUUCUUAAUACAUGUCUCUCGGCUUCAGGA
Molecule: non-coding RNA, 2132 nt
Organism: Callorhinus ursinus (northern fur seal)
Lineage: Eukaryota; Metazoa; Chordata; Mammalia; Carnivora; Otariidae
Source: RefSeq, a predicted model, not a curated record